RNAcentral lists this ribosomal RNA (253 nucleotides) under uncultured bacterium. RNAcentral's name for it is "partial 16S ribosomal RNA". It matches the Rfam family "Bacterial small subunit ribosomal RNA", at positions 524 to 776 of the family's 1533-position model. The record is from RNAcentral.
UACGUAGGGUGCGAGCGUUAAUCGGAAUUACUGGGCGUAAAGCGUGCGCAGGCGGUUUGUAAGCCAGAUGUGAAAGCCCCGGGCUUAACCUGGGAAUGGCAUUUGGGACUGCAAGGCUAGAGUGCGGCAGAGGAGACUGGAAUUCCUGGUGUAGCAGUGAAAUGCGUAGAGUAUCAGGAGGAAUACCGAUGGCGAAGGCAGGUCUCUGGGCUGACACUGACGCUCAUGCACGAAAGCGUGGGGAGCAAACAGG